This 253-nucleotide ribosomal RNA is filed under the name uncultured Pseudomonas sp. RNAcentral describes it as "partial 16S ribosomal RNA". It matches the Rfam family "Bacterial small subunit ribosomal RNA", at positions 99 to 356 of the family's 1533-position model. The record is from RNAcentral. Lineage: Bacteria; Pseudomonadati; Pseudomonadota; Gammaproteobacteria; Pseudomonadales; Pseudomonadaceae.
CGGACGGGUGAGUAAUGCCUAGGAAUCUGCCUGGUAGUGGGGGACAACGUUUCGAAAGUAACGCUAAUACCGCAUACGUCCUACGGGAGAAAGCAGGGACCUUCGGGCCUUGUGCUAUCAGAUGAGCCUAGGUCGGAUUAGCUAGUUGGUGAGGUAAUGGCUCACCAAGGCGACGAUCCGUAACUGGUCUGAGAGGAUGAUCAGUCACACUGGAACUGAGACACGGUCCAGACUCCUACGGGAGGCAGCAGCG